Vigna radiata var. radiata (mung bean) is the source of this 85-nucleotide non-coding RNA. NCBI's taxonomy places the organism in Eukaryota, Viridiplantae, Streptophyta, Magnoliopsida, Fabales, Fabaceae. The record is from Rfam.
CUGACAGAAGAGAGUGAGCACAUGCUGAUAGUGAUUGUAUCAGGGCAUACAAUUGCAAGUGUGUGCUCACUUCUCUUUCUGUCAG